GAUGAAGAACGCAGCGAAAUGCGAUAAGUAAUGCGAAUUGCAGAAUCCGUGAGUCAUCGAAUCUUUGAACGCACAUUGCGCCCUUUGGUAUUCUGAAGGGCAUGCCUGUUCGAGCGUCAUUAUCACCACUCAAGCCCGGCUUGCUGUUGGUGGCAGCGCAGCCGGUCAACCGGCUACGCUCCACCCAAAGAUAAUGACGGCGUCUGCGAGGACUCCUGUACAUUGAGCUUUCGGGCACGUACAUGGCUAGAAGUCCAGGCGCCGGUCGACGUCCUCCGGGACACUUUUUACCAAGGUUGACCUCGGAUCAGGUAGGGAUACCCGCUGAACUUAAGCAUAUCAAUAAGCGGAGGA
RNAcentral lists this unclassified non-coding RNA (354 nucleotides) under soil metagenome. Its description in RNAcentral is "partial contains 5.8S ribosomal RNA, internal transcribed spacer 2, and large subunit ribosomal RNA". The stretch from base 1 to 119 matches the Rfam family "5.8S ribosomal RNA", at positions 35 to 154 of the family's 154-position model. The record is from RNAcentral.